CCUACGGGUGGCUGCAGUGAGGAAUAUUGGUCAAUGGACGCAAGUCUGAACCAGCAAUGCCGCGUGCAGGAAGACGGCCCUAUGAGUUGUAAACUUCUUUUGUCAGGGAGCAAUUGGGUCCACGCGUGGGCUUAGCGAGAGUACCUGAAGAAAAAGCAUCGGCUAACUCCGUGCCAGCAGCCGCGGUAAUACGGAGGAUGCGAGCGUUAUCCGGAUUUAUUGGGUUUAAAGGGUGCGUAGGCGGAAUAUCAAGUCAGCGGUAAAAAUUCGGGGCUCAACCCCGUCGUGCCGUUGAAACUGAUGUUCUUGAGUGGGCGAGAAGUAUGCGGAAUGCGUGGUGUAGCGGUGAAAUGCAUAGAUAUCACGCAGAACUCCGAUUGCGAAGGCAGCAUACCGGCGCCCAACUGACGCUGAAGCACGAAAGCGUGGGUAUCGAACAGGAUUAGAUACCCCUGUAGUC
RNAcentral lists this ribosomal RNA (460 nucleotides) under uncultured bacterium. RNAcentral describes it as "partial 16S ribosomal RNA". It matches the Rfam family "Bacterial small subunit ribosomal RNA", at positions 338 to 795 of the family's 1533-position model. The record is from RNAcentral.